RNAcentral lists this small RNA (29 nucleotides) under Bombyx mori (domestic silkworm). RNAcentral describes it as "ovarian small RNA-35384". The record is from RNAcentral. Lineage: Eukaryota; Metazoa; Arthropoda; Insecta; Lepidoptera; Bombycidae.
UGUAAUUCCUAAUUUGACGAUUGAUCGUC